Molecule: RNA transcript, 1966 nt
Organism: Jatropha curcas
Lineage: Eukaryota; Viridiplantae; Streptophyta; Magnoliopsida; Malpighiales; Euphorbiaceae
Gene name: exocyst complex component EXO70H1
Source: RefSeq, a predicted model, not a curated record
AUGGCGAAAAAACGGAUGUCAACUCUCUUCUUCUUAUCCUCCAAAAUUCUUUCAUCUUCUAAUUCGUUUCCAACCUCUUCCAUUCCUUCUUCACCUACUGUAUACAAAUUCACUAAGUCCAUGAUGGAAGAGAACAUUGAAAACGCAGAGUUAAUCAUCAGAAGAUGGGAUCCAAACUCCUCAUCAACCUCCCUCUUCCAACACAGAGACGAAGCAAGAUGGGAUCCAAACUCCUCAUCAACCUCCCUCUUCCAACACAGAGACGAAGCAAGAGAAUUCUUAAAAAGUGUCAAACGUCUUCGCCGAGCAAUGCACUUUUUAGUAUCAGAACAUUCAGCCUCUAAUAAGCUUGUACUUGCUCAAAACCUUAUGAUAAUCGCCAUGAAAAGACUUGAAAAAGAAUUGUAUCUGAUACUCUCAUUUCAGCGUGAUCAACUUGACCCUGAGUCUGUUUCAGGUCUAUCCUCAGAUGGCUCGAGCAAUCUUGAAAGCAAAGAAGAGAAAGGUUCUGAAGAACAGAUCACUACGAGGUCUGAUCUGAAGUCAAUAGUUGAUUGUAUGAUAAGCUCUGGGUACAGUAAAGAGUGCGUCAAAGUGUACAAAUUAUUCAGAAAAUCGAUAGUAGAUGAAGGACUAUACCUGCUUGGAGUUGAAAGGUUCAGGUUUUCUCAAAUUCGAAAAAUGAAUUGGGAAGCUCUUGACCAUCUAUCUGAUAAAGAACUGGCUCAAUGCAGUAAAAAUUGCAGUGAAAACAUUAUUUACUGCAGAAAAAUCUCUCUGCUAUUACGUUUUUUCUGCAUCUCAGACAAUUAGAGAAUCAUGCUUCACUGAGAUUACUGAAGAAAGUGCAACAAAUUUAUUCAGAUUUCCUGAACUCAUUUCCAUGUGCAAGAAAUCACCAGAAAGAAUUUUCCCAUUAAUGGAACUCCAUGAAGGACUCUCUAGUCUUUGGGCAGAAAUUGAAUCAACAUUCAACUCUGAAUCAACUUCAGCAAUUAGAUUACAAGCCAUUUCAUCACUGCUCAGGCUCCGCGACUCAGUCUGUGCUAUUCUAUCUGAUUUUGAAUCAACGCUCCGCGACUCAGUCUGUGCUAUUCUAUCUGAUUUUGAAUCAACGAUUCAAAAGGACUCAUCAAAAACUCUAGCUGUUGGUGGUGGGAUUCACACGUUGACUCGAACUGCAAUGAACUACAUUUCUUCACUUACAGAUCAUAGAACGACUCUAUCUGAUAUUUUUGCAGAUUCUUUCCCAACAGGGAAUCAUGCAUCAUUGCCUGAAUCUUAUUUUGAGAGUCCUCCAAUGUCUGAUGAUGGUUCUACACCAGCUGUCUCAGUUUGCCUGGCUCGGCUCAUACUAGUUCUUCUAUGCAAGCUUGAUCGCAAAGCAGAAGCAUAUAAAGAUGUGUCUUUAUCAUAUCUGUUCAUGGCAAACAAUCUUCAAUUCAUUAUUCAAAUGGUGACCACAACUCGCCUUAGAAUCCUUCUAGGUGAGGAUUGGGUUUUGAAACAUGCCAAGAAAGUUAGAAAAUAUGCGUCCAACUAUGAAACAAUGGCUUGGACUAAAGUCUUCCUAUCUCUACCAGACAAAAAUUUCCCUGAUUUACAACCUGAAGCAGUGAAGGAAUGUUUUCGAAGGUUCAAUGCAGCUUUUGAAGAAGAACAUAAAAAACAAACGUCAUGGAUUGUAUCAGAUGGGAAGUUAAGAGAUGAAUUGAAGGUAUCAAUAGCAAAGAAACUUGUACCAGCUUAUAGAGAAUUUUAUGGCAAGUAUUUGGUGUUACUGAAUGGACAAAAGAAUUUGGAAAUGUUGAUAAGGUUUUGUCCAGAUGAUUUGGACAACUACCUAUCUGAUCUAUUUCAUGGUGUUGCAAUUUCAGAUAGUUCAUCAUCACCAUCAUCAUCAUCACCACGAGGAUUUAUGCCAAGGUGAAAUGAUAGAGAAACAUUAUUGUAAAUGCAAGGCAAA